UGGGGAAUAUUGCACAAUGGGCGCAAGCCUGAUGCAGCCAUGCCGCGUGUAUGAAGAAGGCCUUCGGGUUGUAAAGUACUUUCAGCGGGGAGGAAGGGAGUAAAAUUAAUACUUUUGCUCAUUGACGUUACCCGCAGAAGAAGCACCGGCUAACUCCGUGCCAGCAGCCGCGGUAAUACGGAGGGUGCAAGCGUUAAUCGGAAUUACUGGGCGUAAAGCGCACGCAGGCGGUCUGUUAAGUCAGAUGUGAAAUCCCCGGGCUCAACCUGGGAACUGCAUCUGAUACUGGCAGGCUUGAGUCUCGUAGAGGGGGGUAGAAUUCCAGGUGUAGCGGUGAAAUGCGUAGAGAUCUGGAGGAAUACCGGUGGCGAAGGCGGCCCCCUGGACGAAGACUGACGCUCAGGUGCGAAAGCGUGGGGAGCAAACAGG
RNAcentral lists this ribosomal RNA (429 nucleotides) under uncultured bacterium. Its description in RNAcentral is "bacterial SSU rRNA". It matches the Rfam family "Bacterial small subunit ribosomal RNA", at positions 355 to 776 of the family's 1533-position model. The record is from RNAcentral.